Trichomycterus rosablanca is the source of this 1620-nucleotide long non-coding RNA. RefSeq lists it as uncharacterized. The transcript is spliced from 3 exons. The record is from RefSeq and is a predicted model, not a curated record. Lineage: Eukaryota; Metazoa; Chordata; Actinopteri; Siluriformes; Trichomycteridae.
UUUAUUUAUUUUGGCCCGCCUUUCUAGAUCAACGUAGGGUUUACUGUUGUCAGUAAUUUUCUUUCAACAGGUGUUUAACUGCCUAUAAUGCUAGCUGCAAUUCAUUAGCUGACCACAAUUUUACAUGAGACAGUGGAUUGGAGAGGGGGGCGCUGUGGAGCUCCUCUCAGCAGAGAUCAGAUUCAACCGAAGUUUCUCCUUCAUCUUCAGACAGAGAGUAGAUGUACUAAAGGAGUAUAACAUCUGUCUGCAUUAGGAAACAAAACAUGCACACCUGUUCUCAAAGUAAAGUGGCGAGGAGAGAAAGCUGCUCAUUGAGGAGCAAUUUAAGAACAUCAACCCCUGCAGCAUGUGGAACGAAAUCAAAGCACUGACGGACUACAAAACCAACACCCUGCAGGACAGUGAUGACACCCAUCUACCUGAUGUGUUAAACAAGUUCUUCUGUUGCCUUGAUAAGCAAAACAGCAGAUUUGCUUCCCACAUCACACCACAUGCUGAAAAGUGUCAUCAGGUAAGAACCACCCCACAGAGAGUGGAUCCCAACAACGCAGCAGGUACAGAUGGAGUUUCUGGAAGGACACUAAAGGUCUGUGCGAGCCAACUAACGGAGGUCUUCAUAAACAUAUUUAACCUCUCACUACAUUUACAUUGUCUUCAUUAUCCAGAGCGACUUACAGAAGUGCUUCUAUAGUGAACGUUACCUUACUCUAGUUUACGUACUAGAGUGAAAGAUCAUUCAUCUGCCAAAAUCUGUUAGAACCAAAGUUUUUUUUUUGUUGUUGUUGUUGGCUGCAAUAAAUGAAUAAGAGCAUUAAUAAGUAAGUGCAGGUCAGUUUGAGUGUUUAGUAAAGAUGUGAUGAAAGUUUUUAAUCGUCUUUUGAAGACAGCGAGAGACAACAGAUGUUUGGACAGACAGAGAAAGUUUGUUCCACCACUUGGGUGCUGGUACGGAGAAGAUCCUUAAUGCUGAUGCUUGUCUUCCUCGAAUCCUGGGUGGAGGAUCAAGUCGAGCAAGACUAGUGGCUCGAAAGUUGCGUGGUACUGAGUGGGGUUUGAUUAGAACUCGAAGGUAGUUGGGGGUCCAUUUUUGGCUUAAUACUAAAUAUGUGCAGCUACAGGAAGCCAGUGAAGACAACGCAGCAGUGGGUGAUGAUGAGGCAGCAUUGACCUGAACUUGACCUGAACUCUCUCCACUUUGAGUUACUUAACAUUUGUUCGCUAUCCGGCAAAGGUCCUCUGGUCUAUGAUCUCCUGAAAGAUCAUGGAUAUGACUUCCUUUACUUGACGGAGACAUGGCAACAACGUGGUGAUUUCUCCCAGCUAAAUCAGUGCACUCCACCCGGGUUUGUUUACAUCUGCGAAGCUCGCGUCACAGGACGAGGAGCCAGUACGGUGAUUUUCUUUAGCGAGAAAUGUCGGGUUUCCACAGUAACUGUUCCUGCUUACUCUUAUUUUGAAUCAGCUAUUGAUUCCCUCUCCACCUUCAAAUCCCACCUAAAAACUCACUUAUUCAAACUAGCCUACAAUUCAUUCACUUGAUUGUUCAAUGUUAAUUGUAUUGUCUGUGUAUUGUUGUUUAACUGAUCUGUAAGAUGUAAGGUCCCCUUAAAUGCUUUA